Ostrea edulis (European flat oyster) is the source of this 2048-nucleotide long non-coding RNA. RefSeq lists it as uncharacterized. The record is from RefSeq and is a predicted model, not a curated record. The transcript has 2 exons. NCBI's taxonomy places the organism in Eukaryota, Metazoa, Mollusca, Bivalvia, Ostreida, Ostreidae.
GUCUAUGUGGCAUGGGAUACCACUUGUGAAAGACUUUGUACACUGUGUUAUAAUGCUCAAAUUGCUGAUGAGUAUUAGUAUAUUCUAGAAUGUAAAGCAUUAAUUGAUAUAAGAAAAGAUUACCUGUGCAAUUAUUACUCCCAAAGACCUUAUGUUAUUAAAUUUACAGAACUAAUGUCAACUCAAAAAGAUUUUUUUUUUUUUUAAAUUCUGUUUAUUUUGAAAAUUGAUGAUGUUGUCUGUCCUCCUCGAUUCCCAGAUUUCUAUUUUACUUCUUGUCAUGUCUCUUUUUAUUAUAUUGUAGCUCUGAAAAGUUUUAUUUAUCAGUGUACAUGUGUUACUAUUGUACCUCAUGUAACAAUAAUAUUAAUGAUUUGAGAGAAUAAAGUGAACUGUACGUGCUUGUCUGUGGACAGCUGUGUGCAUCCAUCAUCCAUGGAUAACACACAGAGACACUAACAGAUUGAUGUGCUUUUAAAGGUAUAACCAGAUCACUCAUAUUUGUAGAAAACCAUUAUGUCGAUCACAUGCAGCAUCUACUCACGAAUGAUUGUGUGCAGUCAUGGAUACAUCAUACAAACAACUUAGAAUGGAACAGACCAGAAUUCAAAUGUGGGCCUCCUGAAUCUGUAGUUUGUUACAGGGGCUGGUCUAAGGCAACAAAUGUAGCAGGGAGAAAGAAAAUGGCUAAUGGCCAUCAAACCUGACUGACCACACUAGAUGAUUGGCAUUCAAGAGCUGAUUAAAUUUUGAGGUGAUAUCAGUGGAUGAAAUUUAAAUUAUGUGUUUUGAUGAACUAGUAUUAAAAACAACCAACUUUCUGGACUGGCCAUCAACCAGGCAACACAUACUAUUAAUCUGUUUCCCAGUUUCUUAUUUUUAUUUCCUACAGUUGUACAAAGAUCACUCAAGAAUUUUAGUUGACCGAUGAUGCACAGUAUAAGCCUAUCAUGCUCAAAUGAGCUAGAUCCUUGCUGAUUUCUGUGGAAACGAGGGGGUUAUUUAUCUUCUGCAGAGAUUUAUCUAGGUUGUUUUUACUACCGGUAAAAGGCACCUUUCCCCUUUGGCUAUAAAUGGAUAUUUCCCCUUCCACAGUUAAAAAAUCCCCUUCAUUUGUAGAAACUUUACAAAAUUGUAUGAGAAUUUUCAACAAAAUCAUUUCAAUAUUUCAACAUUUCAAUAUAUUCUGUCAUUUUCUAUAAUUGUCAGACUUACAAAAUGAGUAUGCAAAUAUAUAUAUGCAAAAUAUAAAAAAUGAUAAAAUGAGUAAUCAAUCUAUUUAUAUUCCAUGGAUGUCCCCCACCACCAUCCCCUGGAAGCUCAUGACUGCAUCCUCAAAGAUUCCCCUUAAAUAUAAAAUGGGUAGUAAUUAACAUCUAUAAUUGCUGGAUAAAACCCUGUUCUGAGGGGGAUAGGAAAGACCGAAUAUAAGUAACCCCCUCGUUUCCAGAAAUUAGAUCCUUGCCUUCCUGUAUCAUGCUUUAAAAUAAGGAUGUUUAAAAGUGGUGUAUUUUCUAAAAUUUUGUAAACUAGACAGAUGUUUAUCAAGUGUCACUCUGCACUCAGAUUCCGGAUGUUUUACAUCUGUGGGCAAAAUCUUAAAAGGCGGAGGGGACAUCACUCAUACAAUUUGUCAGAAGUUUCUAUUUUCUUUACAUUCGUUGUAAACUCUUGUCAUAACUUGUCAUGUGUGUCACUGACUUGACACACUUUAAAACAGUAACAUUUAAGAUUAAAAAGGAAAUAAAAACAGUAUCUUAAACUCCCAAUGUUGUGAAUGACAUUUAUAAUUCAAACUUCCUGUCGUGUUGCUUAUACAGGACUAGUAUGAAGUUUGUAAACAACUUUUUCUUUUUCUCUAAAGUUUUAUAUUUAAAGUCUUAAAGUUUCUGAAUUCUUAAAAAAAACCCAACUAAUUCUCCUGUACUCACCGCUGAUUGAAUGUUCGUUUUACAGCUUCAUGGGACAUGAAUACACGGAGCUCUUCUGCACUUCCAGUAACUUAUCCUAGUUGAACGACCUACCAUACACACAGUCCAUGACGUCAC